ACAGCGGGGGCGAGGAGCCGCAGGGGAAAUGUAGAAGUGGCCACCGCCCCCUCCAAGUGGAGGGGGAGACUCAGCCACGCGUCGUCCUGGGCAUUAGAGCAGUAAUGCCCCCAAAACACAGGGCUGCGAAUGGGGUCUGUUGGGGGGAGUGCGCGCCGGAGAUCUCCAAUCAGCCGCCCCCGCAGGCGGAGCGCCCGCCCAACACCGAGAGUGAUCUGCGACCGAGCUGACUGCGGCUUGGGGAGGCUUGAGUAUAGAAGAGGCCAUCGAGCGAUCACCGGAGCUAGGGCUCCCAGCCUCCGGGGCUCCGAGGCUCAGACUACGGGCGCCCCCCGCCACACCCAAACACGGACCCCUCUUUUCCCGUCCCUGGCUCUCCGCACCUGAACUUCGGGGGAGCCCGCGCCGCCAAACUUUCCGCAGACUUGCAGCGAACUCCGGCCCCGGCCGCGCACCGGGCCCCGGGGGAGGAGAGGGAGGCUGCUGGCCCCGGCCAGGAUCCUGAAUGGCUUUUUAGCACGCUCCAAGUUCUACAUUUGGGAGCUACCAGAUGACAAACCUGACUGGCUGAAAGCUGGACUGGCCUUGGCUACCUCCAUCUUCUUGUGGAUCUAUCUCA
This is a long non-coding RNA of Eubalaena glacialis (North Atlantic right whale), 619 nucleotides long. RefSeq lists it as uncharacterized. Lineage: Eukaryota; Metazoa; Chordata; Mammalia; Artiodactyla; Balaenidae. The record is from RefSeq and is a predicted model, not a curated record. The transcript has 3 exons.